Non-coding RNA from Paramisgurnus dabryanus, 1157 nucleotides. Lineage: Eukaryota; Metazoa; Chordata; Actinopteri; Cypriniformes; Cobitidae. The record is from RefSeq and is a predicted model, not a curated record.
GAUGACAGAUUUUCACAUUUCUUUAUUUAGUUAACUAUUAAAUAAGUAAAACAUUACAUUACAUUUAACCCAGCUUCUUUAUGUAACGUUAUGUCUGUGUUGCGUGUGGUAAUUGGAACAUCUUUAUUUUCUGACUAACGUUAGGCAUUUCUCUUAAGCAUUUCAGAAAUCAUUAAAACCUUUCAUUUUUUUUAGCACAGCGACAUAAAUAUGACCAACCAGAUCCCAAGUAGACAGGAACAAAUGAAGAUAUAGCGCAUAGAAAGACUUAUUCUUGGUGAUCAACUGCUAUUGACAUUUUUGAAUCGGGGCAAAUGUGGAGUGAAGAAAAACUUUGCAACACAUCCAUUCCAGAGUGCUCUGACAGAUAAAACUGACACGCUUGAUGAGGACACAGUCAAGCUUUAAAAGCCCGUGUGAUAAAGCAGUCUUCAAUUACUACGGUGUCUGAAUUGCAAGAAGAAGUCACCCUCCACUUAAACAUGUGACAUCUAAACUGUUUUGUGUUUUAGUUCAGCUUUUUAUAGGUUUAUCUUAAGUUGGUUAAAGGCAGAGUGCACUAUUUUUGAAAGCCAAUGUUAACAUUUGAAAUUACCUAAACAAACAUGCCUCUACCCCAAUAGAAUCUGGACCUUCUUUUGAUAGAGCCACCACACACAUACGCAAUCCCGGCAAGGAUGUCAGUUAGUAGACACGCCCCUUACUGCUGGUUGGCUACAAGUGUGUUUUGGUAGUCGGCCCAAUUUCCUUUUCCAAAGCGUUUUUCAAACAUUGUGCACUCCGUCUUUAAAUUGCACUUAAACAUUUUUUUUCAGUAACUUUUUAUGCAGAGAAUUACAUUAUGAUUAUUAUAUAAUCAUUGCUUAUGAAUAUUUAGUGAUUGCAUAUUCAUAGUGUACUUUUCAUUAAUACAUUUAAUGUUAAUGUUGUACAAUUUGAUAGAAGUAGCUCUGUAAUUGCAUUUCUCUGAUAUUUGUUUUAUAUUGUUUCUCUUUGGUCAAGAGAUUAUGUAUGUCUCUGUGCUUGAUUAAUUUACUUUAGGUAUUUUUGUAAUGUACACAACACAAUAUGAAGUAUAUUAAAUUGUUCUGUAUUCAAAAUCUGUGUAUGUGUCUUAAAAUUUAAUGAUUUUAAUAUAACAUUUUAAAUAUUAAAAA